UACUAGAAACAAAAAUAGGAUCAAGCUAAAAAUUCAUAAAUAAACCCUUUAUAAGAAAGGAAAUCAAUCAGAAAAAUGAAUAGCCUUAUAGAUCAUAAAGAGAAUGAGAAUAUCUCCUACUAAAUGAAAAUGGUAAAACUGAUCGAUCAUGUUUAGGGAAAUAUAUUUCAACUUCCUUUUAAAUAACUGCACAACUAAUUUUUAAAAUACAGCUCUGACUAAACCAAA
RNAcentral lists this long non-coding RNA (228 nucleotides) under Bos taurus (domestic cattle). RNAcentral's name for it is "long non-coding RNA NONBTAT023911". Lineage: Eukaryota; Metazoa; Chordata; Mammalia; Artiodactyla; Bovidae. The record is from RNAcentral.